GCGGCCGGGCCCGGCCGUGUGAGGGGCUCCCCGACACCAUGGCCCCGGGAGGGCCGGCCUGAGCCUCCGGCCACCGCCGGCGCUGCCGAGGAAGAUGCCAAGAGCCCUCCGGCACUGCCUGCCCUGCGGUCACCCUCGCCCGGGCGCGGUGGCCACCGGAGCUGAGCGAUGGAUUCCUUCUGCUUCGUCUGCUUCCAGAAAGAGGAGCUGCAGCCCCUGCACCUGCACAGGUCAGAGCCGCAAGCCGGGACAGCCCCGGGGGGGACAGCACGGGAGCCCGGCGGGGGGACAGUGCCAAAGUUUCCUUGGGAGCCGGCGCAUCCUCUCCUGGCCAGAGGAGUCCGGAGCCGGUGCUGUGCAGAGCACGUGUGUCCGGCCGGGAUGUGCUUCCCUGGCAGCAGCUCUCCAGGGAGCCCGAUGGGCAUCCCGAGCCGAGCCGUGCCAGCUCAGCGCUGCUGCUGUACCUGGCCAGCAGCGUGUUGCACCCACGGCCUCCCGGAGCCAUCCCAGAACCAUCCCCGAUCCACCCGGAGCCAUCCCACCCACCUCGGCUCACCGGGGCAGGGUCCCUGGGCAGUGCCUGCUCCUCCGUGCCCGGCUGGUGCCGGGGGCCCAGUGCAGCUGGGGGGUCCCCAAGGAGAGCCACGAGGCUCCCCUAGGCCUGUCCCCCUGGGCAGCAGCACCGGCGCUCGCCUCCCCCUUCCCCGAAAUCUCCUCUCCCAUCGGCGCUGCUGACAGCCAGGGGGAAGGUGGCGGUGCCGGAAUUAGCCGGGCAGCCGGCAGAAUGCGAGGUGUGAAUGCUGGCACAUGUUGUGCCCAACUGCUCCUCCGUGGCACCGAGCCACUGCCGGCUCCUGGCCCACGCUGCCAGCCCCGGGCACAGCCCCUGCCCGCUCCAGCCAGGAGCCCUCCAGACACUGGCUGUCCCCAGAGAGGUCUGGGGGAGCCUCAGGGCCAUCAGCUGGAUCAAUCUAUGCAGUCUGUCCUUCCUGCCGGGUUGCAGGAAGCUGUAGGAUUUGUUUUGGUGUAAGUCAUGAGUUUAUAGAGCCUCAGUUCCCGUGAGUCAGUGCCCAGGUGGGGGAACAGGGGUACCGGGGGUCGAGAGGGUCCAGAUGUGGGUGCUGCUGGCUGGGGGGGUGCACAGAAUUCCCAGGGCUGCUGUCCCACAGCCCAACUCGGGCUCGGAGCUGACCAGAGGCAUCCAGCCUGUGUCAGGCCACAGGUGGCAUGAGUUUGGCAUCCUCAGCCAGGGAGGGAGCAGCCGGGGUGGCAGUGUGGUGGCCCGUGGUCCCGCGGGGUGGCUGCAGGGACGGCGAG
This 1317-nucleotide long non-coding RNA is filed under the name Cyanistes caeruleus (blue tit). RNAcentral describes it as "lncRNA (ENSCCEG00000001731.1)". Lineage: Eukaryota; Metazoa; Chordata; Aves; Passeriformes; Paridae. The record is from RNAcentral.